GGGUUCGUAGCUCAGCCAGGUAGAGUACCGGACUUUUAAUCCGGCCGUCGGGGGUCCGAUUCCCCCCGGACCCG
This 74-nucleotide transfer RNA is filed under the name Nitrososphaerota archaeon. Its description in RNAcentral is "Thaumarchaeota archaeon tRNA-Lys". It matches the Rfam family "tRNA". Rfam says of the family: Transfer RNA (tRNA) molecules are approximately 80 nucleotides in length. Their secondary structure includes four short double-helical elements and three loops (D, anti-codon, and T loops). Further hydrogen bonds mediate the characteristic L-shaped molecular structure. tRNAs have two regions of fundamental functional importance: the anti-codon, which is responsible for specific mRNA codon recognition, and the 3' end, to which the tRNAs corresponding amino acid is attached (by aminoacyl-tRNA synthetases). tRNAs cope with the degeneracy of the genetic code in two manners: having more than one tRNA (with a specific anti-codon) for a particular amino acid; and 'wobble' base-pairing, i.e. permitting non-standard base-pairing at the 3rd anti-codon position. RNAcentral also lists the same sequence under 1 other name. Lineage: Archaea; Thermoproteati; Nitrososphaerota. The record is from RNAcentral.